This 460-nucleotide ribosomal RNA is filed under the name uncultured bacterium. RNAcentral describes it as "partial 16S ribosomal RNA". It matches the Rfam family "Bacterial small subunit ribosomal RNA", at positions 338 to 795 of the family's 1533-position model. The record is from RNAcentral.
CCUACGGGAGGCAGCAGGGAGGAAUAUUGGUCAAUGGACGAGAGUCUGAACCAGCCAAGUAGCGUGAAGGAUGACUGCCCUAUGGGUUGUAAACUUCUUUUAUAUGGGAAUAAAAUGUUCCACGUGUGGGAUUUUGUAUGUACCAUAUGAAUAAGGAUCGGCUAACUCCGUGCCAGCAGCCGCGGUAAUACGGAGGAUCCGAGCGUUAUCCGGAUUUAUUGGGUUUAAAGGGAGCGUAGGUGGAUUGUUAAGUCAGUUGUGAAAGUUUGCGGCGCAACCGUAAAAUUGCAGUUGAAACUGGCAGUCUUGAGUACAGUAGAGGUGGGCGGAAUGCGUGGUGUAGCGGUGAAAUGCUUAGAUAUCACGAAGAACUCCGAUUGCGAAGGCAGUUCACUGGACUGCAACUGACACUGAGGCUCGAAAGUGUGGGUAUCAAACAGGAUUAGAUACCCUUGUAGUC